Molecule: ribosomal RNA, 504 nt
Filed under: uncultured bacterium
Lineage: Bacteria
Description: partial 16S ribosomal RNA
Rfam family: Bacterial small subunit ribosomal RNA
Source: RNAcentral
AUUGAACGCUGGCGGCAGGCCUAACACAUGCAAGUCGGACGGUAGCACAGAGAGCUUGCUCUCGGGUGACGAGUGGCGGACGGGUGAGUAAUGUCUGGGAAACUGCCCGAUGGAGGGGGAUAACUACUGGAAACGGUAGCUAAUACCGCAUAACGUCUUCGGACCAAAGUGGGGGACCUUCGGGCCUCACACCAUCGGAUGUGCCCAGAUGGGAUUAGCUAGUAGGUGGGGUAAUGGCUCACCUAGGCGACGAUCCCUAGCUGGUCUGAGAGGAUGACCAGCCAAACUGGAACUGAGACACGGUCCAGACUCCUACGGGAGGCAGCAGUGGGGAAUAUUGCACAAUGGGCGCAAGCCUGAUGCAGCCAUGCCGCGUGUAUGAAGAAGGCCUUCGGGUUGUAAAGUACUUUCAGCGGGGAGGAAGGCGAUGAGGUUAAUAACCGCAUCGAUUGACGUUACCCGCAGAAGAAGCACCGGCUAACUCCGUGCCAGCCGCCGCGGUAA